UACGGAGGGUGCAAGCGUUAUCCGGAUUCACUGGGUUUAAAGGGUGCGUAGGUGGGCAGGUAAGUCAGUGGUGAAAUCUCCGAGCUUAACUCGGAAACUGCCAUUGAUACUAUCUGUCUUGAAUAUCCUGGAGGUGAGCGGAAUAUGUCAUGUAGCGGUGAAAUGCUUAGAUAUGACAUAGAACACCGAUAGUGAAGACAGCUUACCAAGCUUCAACUGACGCUGAGGCACGAAAGUGUGGGGAUCAAACAGG
RNAcentral lists this ribosomal RNA (253 nucleotides) under uncultured bacterium. RNAcentral describes it as "partial 16S ribosomal RNA". It matches the Rfam family "Bacterial small subunit ribosomal RNA", at positions 524 to 776 of the family's 1533-position model. The record is from RNAcentral.